This is a long non-coding RNA of Peromyscus eremicus (cactus mouse), 1267 nucleotides long. RefSeq lists it as uncharacterized. Lineage: Eukaryota; Metazoa; Chordata; Mammalia; Rodentia; Cricetidae. The transcript is spliced from 3 exons. The record is from RefSeq and is a predicted model, not a curated record.
GUCAGCGUGGGACACGUUGGCUCUAGGAGGCGUUGGUAGCCUGGGAGUCUCUAGGGCAACACCAGAUGCGAAUAGUGCUUUGUCCUUAAAUCCCUCACAUAAUUUAAAUUCUCCCUCUCGGGUCGGAGCGACAAGCUCACUAUUGGGUGGCAAGUCUAGCAUUGCCUGGGAAGAAGGCGGGCGCGUGGUCAAGGGGCUCUUUAUCCCGCAGGUCCCUGCAACACAGCAAUGCGCAUGCGUCCUGAGGCAGCGACCAGGCACCCCGAGCUCCUUCACCGUCGAGCAUGCGCAGUUCUCCAUCUCGCCGCAGGCGACAGCUCACUAUUUGGCAAGGGGGAUGGGGCUGGGAUAUGAUGGUGAGGGAGGCUGGAGGCAGGGGGCGCGUUUGUGUUUCCUGAAUGCUUGAGUUCAAUAAGAAAAGCCACAGCUUUUCCGGGAACCACAGAGGAGGCAGAGGCAGGCCAGCCUGAAGAGGACAGUAAGUGCCCAUCUCGUUUGUAAGCGCUUUAAGGAGACUUGGGGUAACUUGGUUUGUCUUCACAUCACUCUCAUCUAUGUACCAUGCUUACUUGGAGCCUCUAUGCCCUUUUGUGGAAUUCUCCAGGCAGCACAGAAUCAAGGAAACACAACAGCACAGCCGUCCCAGCCAGAACACUGCCUCUUGCCAAUUAUGGCUCUUGAACAAACUCUUUGACCUUGGAGCCAGUUUACUUACAUUUCAACCAGAGUACCUGGUUGCAAGCACUUGUGCCAACUCAGGUUCUAGCCACCUGAACUGGAAUUUCUUGAAGAAGUACUAGAGCUCAAGAAAAAGACUUGGAAAUUCGGCUGGGAACCAAGGGCUGGUGGAAGAAGACUCACCCUCAGAAAGUGUGGCAACAAGGUCCAGCUUCAGGACACUGCCACUAAGUGCCACCAUUAGACUCAGCACCACUGCUACUUAGGAUGCAAUCCUCCCUCCAUCUUUGUGUGUUAUGCUGCAAAUUCCAAGCCCCAGGUAGCAGCAUCCAGCUGACCAAUCCGAGGACCCAUCUGAGACCUUGACCACCAAGGGAGCAAUGAGGUCUCGCUGCUGUAGUGUAAGCAGCAUGAUGCACAGGACUCCUGUCGCUAGAUGAUGUCUGUGGCAAGGGACUCACAGGAAGCAGGUCAAAUGCUCUCCUUAUCUCCUUGGUGAAAUGGACCAUGCAUCGUGGGAUAAUACAAAGCAUUGAAUGAUGUAUUUGUUCAAAAGCUCUUGGCAUAUAAAAGGUAUUCUGUCAUUUUA